RNAcentral lists this small RNA (67 nucleotides) under Domibacillus iocasae. Its description in RNAcentral is "Bacillaceae-1 RNA". It matches the Rfam family "Bacillaceae-1 RNA". The record is from Rfam by way of RNAcentral. Lineage: Bacteria; Bacillati; Bacillota; Bacilli; Caryophanales; Bacillaceae.
AUAAAUGGAACAAAAGCUAAGAACGUGGCAUCGUGCCACAACGCUUUUGUGACCUACAUCCUGCAGG